RNAcentral lists this ribosomal RNA (311 nucleotides) under uncultured eukaryote. Its description in RNAcentral is "partial 18S ribosomal RNA". It matches the Rfam family "Eukaryotic small subunit ribosomal RNA", at positions 1470 to 1796 of the family's 1831-position model. The record is from RNAcentral.
CCCCUAGACGUUCUGGGCUGCACGCGCGCUACAAUAAUACGCACAGCGAGUAUCACCGAGCUCGAAAGGGCAAGGUAAACAAUAGAAAAGGUACUGUAAUGGUUAUAGAUCCUUGUAAUUAUUGAUCUUCAACGAGGAAUUCCUAGUAAGUAUGUGUCAUCAUCACGCACUGAUUACGUCCCUGCCCUUUGUACACACCGCCCGUCGCUCCUACCGAUGGGGUGAGCCGAUGAAACUCUCGGAUGUAGGCUAUUCAUAGCCCGCAGAAGAGAUUUGAAUCGUAGCGCUUAGAGGAAGGAGAAGUCGUAACA